UUCCUUCUUUAUGGGAAUGUGAACAAAUAAGAGCAUAAUAAAAAUAUGUUGAACGAUUAAAGGAUAACAAAGUCAGAGCGAAAUACGUUCAAAUGAAGUCCUUUAUUAUCAAAUGUUCAUUACAAGAAUACAAAAAAUACAAAUAAUGGAUGUGCUACAAAAUACAACUAAAGUAAGAUGAUCUCCCGGUUGAUCGCUGAGUAAGCUUCACACCGCCUUCCUAAAUACAUCGCUGCAAUGGUGGGAUCGCCGAGUAAGAGGGUGUACUGGCCU
RNAcentral lists this long non-coding RNA (273 nucleotides) under Olea europaea (common olive). Its description in RNAcentral is "long non-coding RNA (OEUR_LNC000485)". The record is from RNAcentral. Lineage: Eukaryota; Viridiplantae; Streptophyta; Magnoliopsida; Lamiales; Oleaceae.